GAUGAAGAACGUAGCGAAAUGCGAUAAGUAAUGUGAAUUGCAGAAUUCAGUGAAUCAUCGAAUCUUUGAACGCACAUUGCGCCCGCCAGUAUUCUGGCGGGCAUGCCUGUUCGAGCGUCAUUACAACCCUCAGGCCCCCGGGCCUGGCGUUGGGGAUCGGCGGAAGCCCCCUGUGGGCACACGCCGUCCCUCAAAUACAGUGGCGGUCCCGCCGCAGCUUCCAUUGCGUAGUAGCUAACACCUCGCAACUGGAGAGCGGCGCGGCCAUGCCGUAAAACACCCAACUUCUGAGUGUUGACCUCGAAGCAGGUAGGAAUACCCGCUGAACUUAAGCAUAUCAAUAAGCGGAGGA
Molecule: unclassified non-coding RNA, 352 nt
Filed under: soil metagenome
Description: partial contains 5.8S ribosomal RNA, internal transcribed spacer 2, and large subunit ribosomal RNA
Rfam family: 5.8S ribosomal RNA (bases 1-120)
Source: RNAcentral